Molecule: ribosomal RNA, 274 nt
Filed under: uncultured bacterium
Lineage: Bacteria
Description: partial 16S ribosomal RNA
Rfam family: Bacterial small subunit ribosomal RNA
Source: RNAcentral
AUACGGAGGGUGCAAGCGUUAAUCGGAAUUACUGGGCGUAAAGCGUACGUAGGCGGUCCGUUAAGUUAGAUGUGAGAGCCCCGGGCUUAACCUGGGAACUGCAUUUAAAACUGGCGAACUAGAGUUGAGUAGAGGGGAGUGGAAUUUCAGGUGUAGCGGUGAAAUGCGUAGAGAUCUGAAGGAACACCAGUGGCGAAGGCGACUCCCUGGACUCGAACUGACGCUGAGGUACGAAAGCGUGGGUAGCAAACGGGAUUAGAAACCCUAGUAGUCC